GUGAUCAACAAGCAUGUUUAUUGUUCUUCUAACUCCUUCAGGACUGUCUCCCCUCCCUCCCACAGCCUAGACAGAGAGCCAGUACAUCCUGCCCACUGCCUGACUUGGGCCUCCUGCUGCCCAUCGGUCUAACACUGGGCGCACAGGUGGGAUGGCUUGACACGGUUGCUUGUUAUAGGAGGGGGAGUUCUAGCCCUCACCACAAAAGAGGUGCCUGAGCCAGGUGGGUAUGCCUAAGUCCCUUCCCCAUUCUCAGUUUCCUUAGUGGCAUAUCAGGAUCCCAUGUUCAGGACGGCUCUCCGGAAUUGGGGGUGGGGGUGGGAAUUCAGGGCAAAAUGUGCAGGGCUGGGGUGGUAAUGCUGGAUCAGAUUCAGACCUGUCUCCUCACCUGCAGCACUUGUGGUAAAGAAUAGAGGGAAGGAGGAACUGGCCUGGAUUUGGAAACCCUAGAAGAGGGUAUUAAUAGAGGGUCUCACAGGUUAGGAAUAAGGAUAAAUCCAGAAACACAUUUUGGACACCCAGCUAUCAAGAAUUAGUGGGUACAGGAUCUCAAGUUUGGGAAACAAGAUACAUAAACUCAGAAGCCUCACAGGAGUUCCCGCUGUGGUUCAAUGGGAUCAGCGGCGCCUUGGGCGCAGUGAGACACAGGUUCGAUCCCCCGCCCGGCACAGUGGGUUAAGAAUCCCGCAUUGACGCAGCUGCAGGUGGUACCUGCAGCUCGGAUCUGAUCCCUGGCCCCCGGAAAACUCUGUAUGCCUCAGGGCAGAAAAAAAGAACAAAUCAAAACCUCAUACAGACCCGUGAUGGCUGCGACUCGGCGAAUUGAGGCACAAAUUCGGAAAAAUAAGGGGAACCUGGCCUUGAGGCGGCGGAUCAAAGCCCUUAACCGGAGUAAAAAUAGGGACCUAGGUUUGGGGGAGACCCAGAGGCAGGAACUGGGGGCGAACCAGGCUUCCGGAUUUUAACUAGAGACGGGAAAUUCGGAAAUGGCAGCUCACGGAGCAGGAAAGCCUGGCCCUCAGGAUUUGGGGGAGUCUAAAGACACAGACCGAGCGGUCGUGCACGCAGACUGGGCCUGCAACGGGAACCCCAGGCCGGAAGUGCCGGCCUCCCCUGGUAACGACCAAUCACCAACGUCCAAGUGACUGCCUGGGAAUGACGCAAGGCGUCUCCAAGGCGAUGGCGAAUCGCAGGGAGGCUCCAGCUCUACCGGAAGUUGGAGUUCCCACCCGCCUCCCGCAGCGAGGAAAGGGGAGGUUGUGGUCGCCGUGGUAACCACGACGCCCAGACAAGUCCGGGUUAGACCGCACUUUCCUCUCCCGCCGGGUUCAGUGACGCUGAAGGAGCCCUCAGAGUCCCGGGGGGGGCGCCUCAUUUCCUCACGCCUCUCCGUCCCGGCCUCCUCAGGUCGCCUAUGGAGAAAAGGGCCCUGGAACAGCACCGCCGCGGCAGUCCUCCGGAGCAGCUGCCUCCAGCACCCGAGGGAGGAGCGCCCGGACCCCCUGCGCUUCCGGCCCGGGCCGCCUAGUUGGUUCCCGGGCUGCGCCGGGGCAGGUUUUGACUCUGGCGGACUCCUCCCGUCUGGGAUGGGGCGGGGUCACCGUGCUCCCUUGGCUCACGGGGCUGAGGUCAGAGGUCGUGACAAGUGAGCCCCGGACCGAGUCGUGUCUGAGAGUCUGGCAGCACGGGUUCAGCUGGGAGGUGCUUUUCCAGUCUAGGCCUCAGUUUUCCCAUCGGUAAAGUGGGAACAAAAAGGGCAACCACCUCAAGGAGGGAAGUGAGCUACAAUUUCUUUCCAGGUGGCCCCCAGCUGCAUUUAAAACCCUGCAAUAGGAGUUCCCUUCGUGGCGCAGGGAAGUGAAUCGGACUAGUAUCCAUGAGGAUGCAGGUUGGAUCUCUGGUCUUGCUCAGUGGGUCGGGGAGCCAGCGUUGCCUUGAGCUAUGGUGGAGGUAUGGUGGGAUCCCACAGAUGUGGCUGGGAUACCAUGUUGCUGUGGUUUGGUGUAGGCUGACAGCUGUAGCUCCUAUUCCACCUCUAGCCUGCGAACUUCCUUAUGCCGUGGGUGCAGCCCUAAAAAGCAAAAAAUAAUAAUAAACAAAACAAAACCCUGCAAUGACUAAGAAGGAUAAAGUUUGGAGAUUCCUGGAGACCUGAAGUAUUUGGUCCAUGCCUGGUUUCCUCCCUCUGAGCCCCCGUUUCCCCAUCUGUAAAACGGGUGUUGGGCCACUAUGCAUUUCUAGACUUGACGUGGGGACUAAAUGACUCAGUCUGUGUAACUCUCUUAGGGCAGGGCCAGAUGGUGCCUAGUGGGCCCUCGAAAUUGUGGUUGCUUUUCGCUAUUUAGAAAACGGACUGGAGUUCCCACUAUGAUGAAGUAGGUUAAGAAUCUGACUGCAGGAGUUCCCAUUGUGGCUCAGCAGGUUAAGAACCCCAUGAGGAUGCAAGUUCGAUCCCUGGCCCCAAUCAGUGAGUAAAGGAUCCAGCGUUGUGGGGAGCUGCAGUGUAGCUCACAGAUGUGGCUCAGAUCCUGCGUUGCUGUGGCUGUGGUGUAGGCCAGUAGCUGCAGCUAUGAUUCAACCCUUGGCCUGGGAACUUCCAUAUGCCGAAGGUACGGCCCUAAAAAGAAAAAGAAAAAAAAAAUUGAAAAUCGGACUGCAUUGGCUCAGGUAGCUGCAGAGGUGCAGGUUGGAUAGCUGGCCCAGAGCAGUGGGUUAAAAGGAUCCAGCGUUUCCACAGCUGCAGUGUAGGUCACAGCUGUGGCCGGGAUUCAGUCCACGGCGCAGGAACUUCCAUAAGCCAUGGGUGUGGCCAUAAGAAAUAAAGUAAAAUAAAAAAUAAAAUAGAUUAUCCAGUCAGCAGACAUUUUUGGAACUCGGCUGUGUGCCAGGCUCCAGAUGCUUCUCCACGCAUCUCCAGCUUUUGGAGCUACCUCCCCUGAGGCUCUGGUUAGUAUGGAGCUUUGUGGAAAUCCUGAUCUCCACACACGGCAUUACAAAAUGGGACAGGCUCCCCCCACGGUCUGAAGACAGGACAGUCCGAGUGUUUCUACAAAAGCUUUCCUAAGCUGAAAUGGCAUAUGCGGCGAAAAAGCGAUUACCUCAGGACACAGCUUGCUAACAGAUGAACAGAACCUCCGCAUGUUGCGGGUGUGGCCCUAAAAAUCAGACAAAAAAAGAAGAGCAAAGUGGCAAAAAGCAAACUUUGAAAAUACUGGGGUGGUUUGUAACUCAACAAAUGACUCAGCGCAGGGGUCUGGACAACGGGGCCCCAGAAACGCUUUCUUCUGCGCUCUUUUGCAUCCUUGGUUUCCACUGGCAACGUGAGUGUGGAGCGUUAGAUCCCUUGGGGGUCUGCAAGGAGGCUGAGCAGGAGGGCGCCCCCCCCCAGGCGAUGAGGACGAGGACGAGAGGCAGGUGGAGAGCCGACCCUGCCAGGUGACUGGCUCCCUGACUCAGGUCGGGUGGGGCCAGGGGCAAGGGCAUCUCCUUGGUCUCCGAGGAAGCAGAGGCAUGGGGCUGUGACGUGGGUUGGAACCGUGAGUCUCCUUGGGUCGAGAGCCAGGCAUUGCCAAGGGGCUUCAGACGCUCCUCAGUUCGGCCGAAAUGUAGAUUCAGGCCAGGCCUCAAAAAGGAAAACAUCCAUGUACCAAAUUUAACUUGGCAAACUUCCUAUGGCCUGUCCCAUGUGCAUCUUAUUUAAAAUCUCCCCCCUGGAAAUCACUGUUUAAUACGUCCAGAGCUCUAGCUGUUUCAGGCAGCGUGUGGUGUCUCAAGAGGCCAGAGCAGCAGUAUGGGUUGAUUUCUUAUUACUGGGUUACCCAGAACCAGAUGGGAGGGCCUGCCUCCUGCUGCCACUCUGCAGCCUGGACCUGUGGACCCUGGUUGUACAGAGUGAAUCGUAUCUUAGGAAACCAGUGUCACCUUUUAAUUUUAUAUCAUUUGUCAUACAUUUCCUGUAAUGGAAGUGUUCAUUUUACUGUACUUUUUGGGAAUCUAAUGUACUGUAAAAAAAAACAAAACAAAGGAAAACAUCCAUCCUCCUCACGUGGCAACCAGAGGGGGCUGUGAAAACCCAACUCAGAUGUCCUCUCUGUCCUGCUCCGAAGCCUCCCUGUGUCACUCUCAGGACAAAACAAUCUGCACAGGGGCCUGCUAGGUGGCCCCAUCACCUUGCACCUUCCCUCUCCCCUCAGCGCCACACCAGCCAUACCACACGACGCUCCCAAGAGCCUGUGCACCUGCCGUGCCCUUACUGAACGCGCCCUUCCUCGGGGAGCCUCGUGGCUCACCCUCCCCUGCUCCCCGGGUCAAGCCUGGAAUCCCACGUGCUCCAGAGGCCUUCUCUGGCCACUCUCUUCACCGUAACUUUGGGGGGAAACAUUAGUCAUGUUACACAUGUUACCCAGUGUGUUUAGUAUCUUCACAAGGUCAGGCACCCAUCACUAUGGGCUUAAUUCCACAACAUUUUCAUCAUCCCAAAAAGAAACCCAGGCGUUUCCGCCGUGGCGCAGUGGGUUAAUGACUUCUGUGGCUUGACCCCCGGCCAGGUGCAGUGGGUGAAGGAUCCGGCCUUGCCACACCUGUCUCGUAGGUCACAGAUCCAGUUCAGAUUUGAUCCCUGACCCGGGAACUUCCAUGUGCCACGGGUGUGGCCAAAAAUGGGAGAAAAAAAAAGAAACCCCAUACCCAUCGGCAGUUACUCCCAUCACCCCUCCUCCAGCCAGCCCCUGACAACCAUGAGCCUCCUUCUCCACAUGGAUCUGCCUGUGAGACGCUCAUCGAAACGGAAUCAUGGAGCAUGUACUUUCCUGUUCGACUUUUUCCACUUAGCUCUAAGGCCGGUCCCACUUGGGCCAAACACCACCUUCCUCCUGCCCCUGCCUCCUGCUCUCCACGGACUGCUUCCCGCCAAGUUCCUUUGCCUCAGCACCCUGACUGUUUUGUCCCGGGGUGGGGGAUGCAGCCAGCCUGUGCACCGCAGGACCCCCGACCUCCUCCCACUUGAUGUUUCAGCACCCUCACCCCCCACCCCUACUGUGACGACCAAAAUCCAUCUCCAGACCCUGCCGAGUGUCCCCAGGGGCCAAAACACACCCUGGGUGAGAAUGGCUGAUUUCCAUCAACUGACUCUGCUCACAUCCACUUAUGGAAGGACAAUCCAUAGCCUCAACCAAAAAAGGCGGGGUCCUCUAGGCGCAAACGCCUGAGUGGACUCUGAGUCCUCUGCCUCCGGCGUGAGGACGCUCUUGAGGGCGGAGGCUCUGGGGAGCGGGCAAGAGGGAGAGGGGCCAGCGUGGACCCGGCAACGGCCUCGCUGUGCCCCCCGAGCCUGGCUAACACCUGCCGAUCACCGCGCAGCUCUGGAGGUCAGGAGCCAGAGUGAGUCUGGGGGUAAAACCAAGGUGGAGGCAGGGCUGCCCUCCUCCUCUCAAGCCCGCCCCUUGCUGGGGGUGAGGGACGGAAAUCCUACAAAAUUGGAUCGUGAUGAUCACUGCACAACCACAAAUGUAAUAAAUUCAUUGAGUAAUUAAAAAAAAAAAAGUCUGUCCUUUGCCUUUUCCAGCUUCCAGAGGCCGCUAGAAUUCCCGAUUCCUUUGGCCACAUCCUUUGGACCUGUUUCUGUCGCCACCUCUGUCUCCUCCUCUGACCCUGCCUCCCUCUUAGAAGGACCACUGUGAUGACAUUUUGGGCCCAGGGUUAGCCAGGAUAAUCCUUAACCACAUCUGCAAAGUCCCUUUUGCCACAUAAGGUGGCACAUUCGCAGCCUCUGGCAAUUAGGCUGUGGACCUCUCUGGGAUCCGUUAUUCUUUUUUUUUGCCUUUUCCUAGGGCCACUGCCGUGGCAUAUGGAGGUUCUCAAGCUAGGGGUCGAAUUGGAGCUGUAGCCACCAGCCUACGCCAGAGCCACAGCAAGGUGGGAUCCAAGCGGCAUCUGCGACCUACACCACAGCUCACAGCAACGCUGGAUCCCCAACCCACUGAGCAAGGGUAGGGAUCGAACCCGAAACUUCAUGGUUCCUAGUCAGAUUCAUUAACCGUUGUGCCACAACGGGAACUCCUGGGAUCCGUUACUCUGUACACUGUAUCUAAGGCCUGGUCAGCAGCAGUGACCACCACGGGGCCAGGACAGCCACCAAAAGGCCAUCGUUGGUGUGGCUUGUCAGAUGGACAGUCUGGACAUACAUGCACGACAGCUGGUGAAGGGGAUGGGCCAGAGGGAGGCAGAGGUCAGCAGGAGGUGAGAGGGGACAGUGGAGGAGGAGGAGGAGGAAUGAAGUCCAGAGAAGCAGAGUUAUCCCCGCCCCUCCCCUCACCCACUCGGCUGGCUGCCUUUAGCCCCCGCUGAAAUUCCUUUCUUUACGUCUCUUCCCUUUGUACAGCCUGCAAGACUCAAGGAAAUUUGCCCAAGCCAUCCAGGAUGCCCGAGCUGCUGGGGUUUGCUUCCAUGGUUCCUGGAAACGUUUCCCUCCUUGGGAACUCCAGCCUCUUCCAGACCCUGCAACCAGGACUCCUAACUGGAGACUGGCCCCAGGAUGGAGGCUCCAGCCCAGGACCCUGAGCAGGCCGACUCCUGGAGAGCUGCCUUGGGACCUCAGGAGAGGCCUGAGGAGAAGCCUAGGCCCUGUACGGAGGACAGAGCUGAGAGACCACCCCCUUGGAGGGGCGGCAGGACAAGUUCCCCUGGGUUGUGUCAUGAGCCCCAGCUCAGGGACCUGACAUUUCAAGGGCAGGCAGGAAUCCUGACACAGACCCCUAGGAAGCCGAGAGGGGCCAGGAGGAGAGGUC
This 6785-nucleotide long non-coding RNA is filed under the name Sus scrofa (pig). RNAcentral describes it as "lncRNA (ENSSSCG00040057780.1)". Lineage: Eukaryota; Metazoa; Chordata; Mammalia; Artiodactyla; Suidae. The record is from RNAcentral.